GGAGAGAUGGCCGAGUGGCUGAAGGCACUCCCCUGCUAAGGGAGUAUAGGAGUAAUCUUAUCGAGGGUUCGAAUCCCUCUCUCUCCGCCA
This 90-nucleotide transfer RNA is filed under the name Gammaproteobacteria bacterium. RNAcentral's name for it is "tRNA-Ser". It matches the Rfam family "tRNA". From Rfam's summary of the family: Transfer RNA (tRNA) molecules are approximately 80 nucleotides in length. Their secondary structure includes four short double-helical elements and three loops (D, anti-codon, and T loops). The record is from RNAcentral. Lineage: Bacteria; Pseudomonadati; Pseudomonadota; Gammaproteobacteria.